GCGACGGCAGCGACAAUUUUUCGUAAGAA
RNAcentral lists this small RNA (29 nucleotides) under Bombyx mori (domestic silkworm). RNAcentral describes it as "ovarian small RNA-5349". Lineage: Eukaryota; Metazoa; Arthropoda; Insecta; Lepidoptera; Bombycidae. The record is from RNAcentral.